GUUUGAAGGCAAUUUUCUGACAACUUGUUUCAUUUACUAAGAUGAACAAGAGAUGUGUUUGUCAGAAACACAAUGCUCCGCUUUGAAUUUAACCUUGAAGGUCGACCUUGACCUUUCACCACUCAAAAUGUGCAGCUCUAUCAGAUACACAUGCAUGCCAAAUAUCAAGUUGCUAUCAUCAAUAUUGCAAAAGUUAUGACCAAAGUUAAAGUUUUGUGACACAUGCACAUGUGACAGACAGGCCAAAAAUGUGGGGAUGGUUUAAAAUGAUAACAAUUGCAAUAAUAAUUAAACAAGAGAUUUUUAUAGUACUUAGUCAUGAAUAAGCCCAAUGUUGCAUGUCAUGAUCGGAUGUAAGUUGUAAUUAUCAUAGUUAUAAUACAAAUUAAUGAAAUAUGGGCAUAAUUAAGGCAAUUUGUAGGUAGGAUUAAUUAAAAUUGCGCAUGCACAACAGGCAGGUUUGAAUGAUGUAUGUUUACUUGUGCACAACAAGCAGGUUUGAAUGAUGUAUGUUUACUUGUGCACAACAAGCAGGUUUGAAUGAAGUAUGUUUACUUGUGCACAAAAGGCAGGUUUGAAUGAUGUAUGUUUACUUGUGUAUGAAUUUUUUGUUGUAAAAGUUAUGUUUAAGGAGAGAAAGAUGGUCAGAGCUGGAGAAUCAAUUAUGUCACCUUAUUCAUUGUGGGGGUGUAAUAAAAAAGAUGCAGAUACUAUGCAGUAUCAUCACUUGCAGAAGAUUACACAAAUCAAGACUUGAAUAAUUGUAUGAUAUUCAAAAUCACAGAAAACAUGCACAAUGUAUGAUCAUAAAGAAAUUACAACUUGGGUUGUAUAGAGAAAUAACAAUAAUAAUGCAAUUUAAAAUAAAUAUACAGUCUUUUGAAAUAACAAUGAACUUGCUUUUACAUAGGCAAAAUGAAACAUGUAAUGCAUUUACUUAUUAAAAAAAAGAUUAGAUUGGAAUGGGCCCAUG
Molecule: long non-coding RNA, 973 nt
Organism: Dreissena polymorpha
Lineage: Eukaryota; Metazoa; Mollusca; Bivalvia; Myida; Dreissenidae
Exons: 2
Source: RefSeq, a predicted model, not a curated record